AACGAACGCUGGCGGCAUGCCUAACACAUGCAAGUCGAACGAAACUUUCGGGGCUAGUGGCGCACGGGUGCGUAACGCGUGGGAACCUGCCCUUAGGUUCGGAAUAACUCACGGAAACGGGUGCUAAUACCGAAUGUGGUCUUCGGAGCAAAGAUUUAUCGCCUUUGGAGGGGCCCGCGUUGGAUUAGCUAGUUGGUAGGGUAAAGGCCUACCAAGGCGACGAUCCAUAGCUGGUCUGAGAGGAUGAUCAGCCACAUUGGGACUGAGACACGGCCCAGACUCCUACGGGAGGCAGCAGUGGGGAAUAUUGCGCAAUGGGCGAAAGCCUGACGCAGCCAUGCCGCGUGAAUGAUGAAGGUCUUAGGAUUGUAAAACUCUUUUACCCGGGACGAUAAUGACGGUACCGGGAGAAGAAGCCCCGGCUAACUUCGUG
Molecule: ribosomal RNA, 433 nt
Filed under: uncultured bacterium
Lineage: Bacteria
Description: partial 16S ribosomal RNA
Rfam family: Bacterial small subunit ribosomal RNA
Source: RNAcentral